UGCCAGCCGCCGCGGUAAUACGGAGGGGGUUAGCGUUGUUCGGAAUUACUGGGCGUAAAGCGCACGUAGGCGGCUUGCCAAGUUGGGGGUGAAAGCCCGGGGCUCAACCCCGGAACGGCCCUCAAAACUGGCAGGCUUGAGACCGGGAGAGGAGAGUGGAAUUCCCAGUGUAGAGGUGAAAUUCGUAGAUAUUGGGAAGAACACCAGUGGCGAAGGCGGCUCUCUGGACCGAUACUGACGCUGAGACGCGAAAGCGUGGGGAGCAAACAGGAUUAGAUA
This 279-nucleotide ribosomal RNA is filed under the name uncultured bacterium. RNAcentral describes it as "partial 16S ribosomal RNA". It matches the Rfam family "Bacterial small subunit ribosomal RNA", at positions 506 to 784 of the family's 1533-position model. The record is from RNAcentral.